This 41-nucleotide ribosomal RNA is filed under the name uncultured Russula. RNAcentral's name for it is "partial 18S ribosomal RNA". Lineage: Eukaryota; Fungi; Basidiomycota; Agaricomycetes; Russulales; Russulaceae. The record is from RNAcentral.
CACGUCAGGGGUUUCGUUAGGUGACCUGGGAAGGAUCAUUA